CUCUCUCUCUCUCUAAAGUGUUACAAGAAAUAUGGGCUAGAAAAAAAGGUGGGACACUCUGCAGUAAAAUUGGCCCAUCUAAAUUAUUUACAUGGGAUAUUGAACGCCUUAGACCUGGGGAAAUUGAGGUUAUCAUGCAUACUUGUCCUACCUCAUAAAAAAAUUAUGCUGGUAAGGCAUAUGUGUUUGAUUCUUUUCCAGCAACAAGUAUUUGGCAAGGCAAUCCCAGUUCAAUGAAAAGGAUGAAUCCAGAGGUGUAUGAUGUUCUUAUUGGGACAGUUAAUGAGAACAAUCACUGCACGCUCCUGGUGAUGUAUCCUAACAAAUGGAGAAUACUGUACCUAAAUUCGCUUGGUGAAAACCAAAGUAAACUGGAACACUGUAAAAAGGCUGUAAGCAUAUUUAUGGCCACAAAAGGAAAUCUUGGGGAAAAGUGGGAAUGUGGUUAAGUACCACACUGCUUACAGAAGGAUGACAAUUCAUGUGAGGUAUUUGUAUGCAAAUUUGCAGAAGCUAUUUUAAAAGGAGGUAAUUAGGAGUUUGAAAGUACAGUGGCCAGCAUAAAUGUAAUUCGCCAAGACAUGGGCCUUUGCCUUCUACAAGAAACAGAGGACCUCUCUGAACAAUGCUUGGCCUGUGGGGACAAAUAUCCAUACACAGAAGACGUUGAGGACUCUUGGGUCUGCUAAUUAGCAAACUGUUCUUCGACGUUUCACCCUGCUUCAAAACAUGUUAUAACGUCAGUGUCUCUUUCAGAUUCAGUGUGACCGCUGCAAUGGAUGGUUUCACUGGGAAUGUGUAAACAGACCCAAUAUAAAAGAUAGUUUUGUUUGUCACAG
This is a long non-coding RNA of Onychostoma macrolepis, 839 nucleotides long. RefSeq lists it as uncharacterized. Lineage: Eukaryota; Metazoa; Chordata; Actinopteri; Cypriniformes; Cyprinidae. The record is from RefSeq and is a predicted model, not a curated record. The transcript is spliced from 7 exons.